This 993-nucleotide ribosomal RNA is filed under the name uncultured organism. Its description in RNAcentral is "bacterial SSU rRNA". It matches the Rfam family "Bacterial small subunit ribosomal RNA", at positions 83 to 1080 of the family's 1533-position model. The record is from RNAcentral.
AUUGGGUGGAAAGUGGCGAACGGGUGAGUAACACGUUGGUGACCUGCCCUGAGGAGGGGAAUAACCGUGGGAAACCACGGCUAAUACCCCGGAUGUCUAAGCUGUUAGAGGGCUUAGACUAAAGCCCCUGCAAGGGGUGCGCCUCGGGAGGGGCCUGCGGGCUAUCAGCUUGUUGGUGGGGUAAUGGCUUACCAAGGCGAAGACGGCUAGGGGGCGUGAGAGCGCGACCCCCCACAAUGGAACUGAGACACGGUCCAUACUCCUACGGGAGGCAGCAGUGAGGAAUAUUGCGCAAUGGGGGCAACCCUGACGCAGCAACGCCGCGUGGACGAUGAAGGCCUUCGGGUUGUAAAGUCCUUUUCUGAAGGAAGAUAGUGACGGUACUUCAGGAAUAAGUCCCGGCUAACUACGUGCCAGCAGCCGCGGUAAAACGUAGGGGGCGAGCGUUAUCCGGAUUUACUGGGCGUAAAGCGCACGUAGGCGGCAUCGUAAGUUGGACGUGAAAGCUCCCGGCUCAACUGGGAGAGGUCGUUCAAAACUGUGGUGCUUGAGGUUGAUAGAGGAGAGUGGAAUUCCCGGUGUAGUGGUGGAAUGCGUAGAUAUCGGGAGGAACACCAGUGGCGAAGGCGGCUCUCUAGGUCACACCUGACGCUGAGGUCCAAAAGCGUGGGGACCGAACGGAAUAAGAUACCCCGGUAGUCCACGCGGUAACCGAUGAAUACAAGGUGUGGAAGAUAAUUAACCCCUUCGGGCCCGUAGCUACCGCGUAAAGUAUCCCGCCCGGGGACCUCCGCCAGCAAGGUUAAAACUCCAAAGGAAAUUGACGGGGGGCCCGCACAAGCAGCGGAGCGUGUGGUAUAAUUCGAUGAUACGCGAAGAACCUUACCGGGGCUUGACAUGGUGGUAGUAGUGAAGCGAAAGCGGAACGACCAUUCGGGGAGCCAUCACAGGUGCUGCAUGGCUGUCGUCAGCUCGUGUCGUGAGAUGUUGGGU